Molecule: RNase P RNA, 376 nt
Filed under: bacterium
Lineage: Bacteria
Description: RNase P RNA component class A
Rfam family: Bacterial RNase P class A
About the family: Ribonuclease P (RNase P) is a ubiquitous endoribonuclease, found in archaea, bacteria and eukarya as well as chloroplasts and mitochondria.
Source: RNAcentral
UUGGUAAAUCGGGUGAUUACUAUCAGCCCGCGUGGGGUGGAUAGAGGAAAGUCCGAACACUCAUUUGGCAUUAUCUUAAGAGGUGCCAAAAACAGUAGCGGGUAACGCCCGUCUGGAGCAAUCCAAGAGAUGCGAGCAGAGACGUUCUGAGGCGAAAGCCAAAGAACACCCUUCGGGGUGAAUCUCGACAGUAAUGUCGAGGGUGAAACGGCUAAACUCUUACUGGGGUGCAAGAGCAGCGUCCUUCAGCAAGCUCAGAAGCAAUUCCUAGCUUGUUAGAGUUCGAAAAGUUAGCUCGCUUGAGCCGUUCAGCAAUGAACGACCUAGAUAAAUAAUUACACAAAAACAGAAUUCGGCUUAUAGAUUUGCCAAGCAA